UUCGGAGGGGGCGAGCGUUAUUCGGAAUUAUUGGGCGUAAAUGGCUCGUCGGCGGCCAACUAAGUCCGACGUGAAAUCCCAAAGCUUAACUUUGGAACUGCGUCGGAUACUGGAUGGCUUGAAUUCGGGAGAGGGAUGCAGAAUUCCAGGUGUAGCGGUGAAAUGCGUAGAUAUCUGGAGGAAUACCGGUGGCGAAGGCAGAUCUCUGGGCCGUAACUGACGCUGAGGAGCGAAAGCGUGGGGAGCGAACAGG
This 253-nucleotide ribosomal RNA is filed under the name uncultured bacterium. RNAcentral describes it as "partial 16S ribosomal RNA". It matches the Rfam family "Bacterial small subunit ribosomal RNA", at positions 524 to 776 of the family's 1533-position model. The record is from RNAcentral.